Molecule: ribosomal RNA, 222 nt
Filed under: uncultured bacterium
Lineage: Bacteria
Description: partial 16S ribosomal RNA
Rfam family: Bacterial small subunit ribosomal RNA
Source: RNAcentral
AGUAAUACAUCGGAACGUGUCUUCUAGUGGGGGAUAACUGCCCGAAAGGGCAGCUAAUACCGCAUGAGACCUGAGGGUGAAAGCGGGGGAUCGCAAGACCUCGCGCUGGAAGAGCGGCCGAUGUCCGAUUAGCUAGUUGGUGAGGUAAAGGCUCACCAAGGCGAUGAUCGGUAGCUGGUCUGAGAGGACGACCAGCCACACUGGGACUGAGACACGGCCCAG